This 253-nucleotide ribosomal RNA is filed under the name uncultured bacterium. RNAcentral describes it as "partial 16S ribosomal RNA". It matches the Rfam family "Bacterial small subunit ribosomal RNA", at positions 524 to 776 of the family's 1533-position model. The record is from RNAcentral.
GACAGAGGUGCCGAGCGUUAGGCGGAAUCACUGGGCUUAAAGCGUGUGUAGGCGGAUCGUUAAGUACCUUGUGAAAUCCCACGGCUCAACCGUGGAACUGCUGGGUAUACUGGCGGUCUUGAGCCACCUAGGGGCGAGCGGAACAAGCGGUGGAGCGGUGAAAUGCGUAGAUAUCGGGAGGAACAUCUGUGGCGAAGGCGACUACCUGGACCAGCACUGACACUGAGGCACGAAAGCGUGGGGAGCAAACAGG